Molecule: ribosomal RNA, 197 nt
Filed under: uncultured bacterium
Lineage: Bacteria
Description: partial 16S ribosomal RNA
Rfam family: Bacterial small subunit ribosomal RNA
Source: RNAcentral
CCGAAAUUCGCCUUCAUGAAGCUGGAAUUGCUAGUAAUGGCAGGUCAGCAUACUGCCGUGAAUACGUUCCCGGGCCUUGUACACACCGCCCGUCACACCAUGAGAGUUGGGAAUACCCGAAGCCUGUGAGCCAACUUUUAAAGAGGCAACAGUCGAAGGUAGAAUCAAUGAUUGGGGUGAAGUCGUAACAAGGUAGC